UCGGACCCGUACAGGGGAAGUCGGUGAUCCUAUGCUGCCAAGAAAAUCUUCUAGCGAGGUUCGAGCCGCCCGUACCCCAAACCGACUCAGGUGGUUAGGUAGAGAAUACCAAGGCGAUCGAGUGAAUCGUGGUUAAGGAAUUCGGCAAAAUACCCCCGUAACUUCGGGAGAAGGGGGGCCCAGAGGGUGACGGGACUUGCUCCCCGAGCCUGAACGGCCGCAGAGACCAGGGAGAAGCGACUGUUUACUAGAAACACAGGUCCGUGCCAAGUCGCAAGACGAUGUAUACGGACUGACGCCUGCCCGGUGCUGGAACGUUAAGGGGACCGGUUAGCCUCACGGCGAAGCUGAGAACUUAAGCGCCAGUAAACGGCGGUGGUAACUAUAACCAUCCUAAGGUAGCGAAAUUCCUUGUCGGGUAAGUUCCGACCUGCACGAAUGGCGUAACGAUUUCUCCACUGUCUCAACCACGAACUCGGCGAAAUUGCACUACGAGUAAAGAUGCUCGUUACGCGCAGAAGGACGGAAAGACCCCGGGACCUUUACUACAGCUUGGUAUUGGUGUUCGGUACGGCUUGUGUAGGAUAGGUGGGAGACUGUGAAGCUGACACGCCAGUGUCGGUGGAGUCAACGUUGAAAUACCACUCUGGUCGUUCUGGAUAUCUAACCUAGGUCCGUGAUCCGGAUCAGGGACAGUGCCUGGUGGGUAGUUUAACUGGGGCGGUUGCCUCCUAAAAGGUAACGGAGGCGCCCAAAGGUUCCCUCAGCCUGGUUGGCAAUCAGGUUUUGAGUGUAAGUGCACAAGGGAGCUUGACUGUGAGACUGACAAGUCGAACAGGGACGAAAGUCGGGACUAGUGAUCCGGCGGUGGCUUGUGGAAGCGCCGUCGCUCAACGGAUAAAAGGUACCCCGGGGAUAACAGGCUGAUCUUGCCCAAGAGUCCAUAUCGACGGCAUGGUUUGGCACCUCGAUGUCGGCUCGUCGCAUCCUGGGGCUGGAGUAGGUCCCAAGGGUUGGGCUGUUCGCCCAUUAAAGCGGUACGCGAGCUGGGUUUAGAACGUCGUGAGACGGUUCGGUCCCUAUCCUCUGCGCGCGCAGGAAACUUGAGAAGGGCUGUCCCUAGUACGAGAGGACCGGGAUGGACGAACCUCUGGUGUGUCAGUUGUUCUGCCAAGAGCACCGCUGAUUAGCUACGUUCGGGAGUGAUAACCGCUGAAAGCAUCUAAGCGGGAAGCAUGCUUCAAGAUGAGGUUUCCAUGGGGUUUACCCCGAGAGGCUCCCAGCUAGACUACUGGGCUGAUAGGCCGGAUGUGGAAGUGCGGUAACGCAUGGAGCUGACCGGUACUAAUAAGCCGAUAACUUGACC
RNAcentral lists this ribosomal RNA (1366 nucleotides) under metagenome. Its description in RNAcentral is "bacterial LSU rRNA". It matches the Rfam family "Bacterial large subunit ribosomal RNA", at positions 1568 to 2925 of the family's 2925-position model. The record is from RNAcentral.